GAUGAACGCUGGCGGCGUGCCUAAUACAUGCAAGUCGAGCGAACGGACGAGAAGCUUGCUUUUCUGAUGUUAGCGGCGGACGGGUGAGUAACACGUGGAUAACCUACCUAUAAGACUGGGAUAACUUCGGGAAACCGGAGCUAAUACCGGAUAAUAUUUUGAACCGCAUGGUUCAAAAGUGAAAGACGGUCUUGCUGUCACUUAUAGAUGGAUCCGCGCUGCAUUAGCUAGUUGGUAAGGUAACGGCUUACCAAGGCAACGAUGCAUAGCCGACCUGAGAGGGUGAUCGGCCACACUGGAACUGAGACACGGUCCACACUCCUACGGGAGGCAGCAGUAGGGAAUCUUACGCAAUGGGCGAAAGCCUGACGGAGCAACGCCGCGUGAGUGAUGAAGGUCUUCGGAUCGUAAAACUCUGUUAUUAGGGAAGAACAUAUGUGUAAGUAACUGUGCACAUCUUGACGGUACCUAAUCAGAAAGCCACGGCUAACUACGUG
This 497-nucleotide ribosomal RNA is filed under the name uncultured bacterium. RNAcentral describes it as "partial 16S ribosomal RNA". It matches the Rfam family "Bacterial small subunit ribosomal RNA", at positions 28 to 507 of the family's 1533-position model. The record is from RNAcentral.